Lutra lutra (Eurasian river otter) is the source of this 703-nucleotide long non-coding RNA. RefSeq lists it as uncharacterized. NCBI's taxonomy places the organism in Eukaryota, Metazoa, Chordata, Mammalia, Carnivora, Mustelidae. The transcript is spliced from 3 exons. The record is from RefSeq and is a predicted model, not a curated record.
GAAGCCUCUUGUUCCAUAAAGCUUACUUUUAGUGGGGAAGACAAUUACAAGUUGAGAUAAAUGCUGGAACAAAAGCAAGGGGCUGGGAUAGAGAAUAGGAGCCACUUUCCAUGGAGCUGGCAGGGAGAAUGUUUUUGAGGAGACGCUGAAGUCAAAUGGAUGAGGAGACAGCCUGGGGGAAAGCCAGGCAGACACCUUCCAGUUUGAGAGCAGUAUGUGCUGAGGCCCUGAAAAAGGAUAGAAUCACCAGAGUUUAACAGAUAUAGAGCCAUCCUUGAGAAAAACUACAUUUCCCAACCACCCUUGCAGUUAAGUGCAGGCCUGAGUCCUGCCUGACCAAUGGGAUGGUCAUUAUGAACUUAUGGUUUUAAACAUAUCUGACAUGCUUUAAUCCAUCGCAAUUACAACAAUACUCAAACUGCCCCAUCUUUAGCAAGAAAGAGCUUCCUCCCAGUGGAUCCCAAGUCCUUUCUUUCUACAAGCUUGCAGUAGUCUUUGACAACAAGAUGUUCCAGGCUUCUCUUGUACACUUUCUGUCCCAAGCCUGCAAUCAGCCGUUUGGAGUCCACUGGAUAUCAGAAGACCACAGGCUGAGCUUGGCUGCCUCGUGGGAGAGUUUCUUCAUGUUUCUCAGAUGAACAACAUGGAAAUCAGGGCAGGGUUUCUCUUGCCUAAUUCUGCAACAGAUACUCUGUCCAGGGGU